AUUGAACGCUGGCGGCAUGCUUUACACAUGCAAGUCGAACGGUAACAGGCCGCAAGGUGCUGACGAGUGGCGAACGGGUGAGUAAUGCAUCGGAACGUGCCCAGUCGUGGGGGAUAACUACUCGAAAGAGUAGCUAAUACCGCAUACGAUCUACGGAUGAAAGCGGGGGACCGUAAGGCCUCGCGCGAUUGGAGCGGCCGAUGUCAGAUUAGGUAGUUGGUGGGGUAAAGGCUCACCAAGCCAACGAUCUGUAGCUGGUCUGAGAGGACAACCAGCCACACUGGGACUGAGACACGGCCCAGACUCCUACGGGAGGCAGCAGUGGGGAAUUUUGGACAAUGGGCGCAAGCCUGAUCCAGCAAUGCCGCGUGCAGGAAGAAGGCCUUCGGGUUGUAAACUGCUUUUGUACGGAACGAAACGGCUCUGGUUAAUACCCGGGGCUAAUGACGGUACCGUAAGAAUAAGCACCGGCUAACCACGUG
This 482-nucleotide ribosomal RNA is filed under the name uncultured bacterium. RNAcentral's name for it is "partial 16S ribosomal RNA". It matches the Rfam family "Bacterial small subunit ribosomal RNA", at positions 30 to 507 of the family's 1533-position model. The record is from RNAcentral.